Molecule: transfer RNA, 62 nt
Filed under: Leptocorisa acuta (rice earhead bug)
Lineage: Eukaryota; Metazoa; Arthropoda; Insecta; Hemiptera; Alydidae
Also listed under: 1 other name
Description: tRNA-Trp
Source: RNAcentral
AAAGCUUUAAGUUAAAAAAACUAUUAACCUUCAAAGUUAAAAAUACUGAAAAGUAAGCUUUA